GUGUGUGUGUGUGAGAGAGAGAGAGAGAGAGAGAGAGAGAGAGAGAGAGAGAGAGAGAGACCAAAUGCCUUGCUGUCAUAAUGUCCUGUUUGGGUUGUUUUUUCCCCCAUAUUUCUCCCUCUUUUUCUUUCCCUUUCUUUCUUCAUCUUCCUCUCACACACUUCUUCU
RNAcentral lists this microRNA precursor (168 nucleotides) under Marmota monax (woodchuck). Lineage: Eukaryota; Metazoa; Chordata; Mammalia; Rodentia; Sciuridae. The record is from RNAcentral.